GUAUGUGUAAUUUAAAAAAAAUAUCAAGCUGUGACCUUGACAUUAGGAUGUACAUCCUCACACACCA
RNAcentral lists this transfer RNA (67 nucleotides) under Boaedon fuliginosus (brown house snake). RNAcentral's name for it is "tRNA-His". The record is from RNAcentral. Lineage: Eukaryota; Metazoa; Chordata; Lepidosauria; Squamata; Lamprophiidae.